AAAGGGUGCAUAGGCGGGCAAUUAAGUCAGGGGUGAAAUCCCGAGGCUCAACCUCGGAACUGCCCUUGAUACUGGUUGUCUUGAGUCCGGAAGAGGUGAGUGGAACUGCGAGUGUAGAGGUGAAAUUCGUAGAUAUUCGCAAGAACACCGGUGGCGAAGGCGGCUCACUGGUCCGGAACUGACGCUGAGGCACGACAGCGUGGGGAGCAAACAGGAUUAGAUACCCGGGU
This 230-nucleotide ribosomal RNA is filed under the name uncultured bacterium. Its description in RNAcentral is "partial 16S ribosomal RNA". It matches the Rfam family "Bacterial small subunit ribosomal RNA", at positions 562 to 791 of the family's 1533-position model. The record is from RNAcentral.